CGAAAAUGCUAAUGAAAUCAGGGCCAAUUGUACUAUUUUCGGUGGUCCUCUGCAGCACGCUUGUGUUUAUAGUGUUCUUCCAGCCAAAUCCAUCUCCUUCUCAAAAACAACACUCCAUGGCUCGUAGCUUUAUUCUUUGGCUUCAUGGAUUAGGUGAUUCAGGUCCUGCCAAUGAACCCAUCAAAACUCUCUUCACUUCUCCUCAGUUUGCAACUACCAAAUGGUCUUUCCCUUCUGCUCCUAAUAACCCAGUCACCUGCAACUAUGGCGCUGUAAUGCCUUCAUGGUUCGACAUCCAUGAGAUUCCCAUAACAGCUGAUUCUCCAAAAGACGAAAGUGGGGUGCUGAAAGCAGUUCAGAAUGUACAUGCAAUGAUAGACCAGGAAAUAGCUGCAGGGACAAAUCCUGAUAACAUAUUCGUGUGUGGAUUUAGUCAAGGAGGUUCCUUGACCUUGGCUAGUGUUUUGCUGUACCCGAAGACUCUAGGAGGGGGUGCAGUCUUCAGUGGAUGGGUUCCUUUCAAUUCUUCUAACAUGGAACAGAUUCCAUCAGAUGCGAAAAAGACACCUAUUUUGUGGUCACACGGAAUUGCUGACAGAACAGUAUUGUUUGAAGCUGGACAAGCAGGGCUCCCUUUCCUCGAAAAAGCUGGCAUAAGCUGUGAGUUUAAGGCAUAUCCUGGUCUUGGCCAUUCAAUAAUCGAUCAGGAGUUGCAAUAUCUGGAAUCAUGGAUUAAGAUUCGUCUGUGUACUUCGUCUGAGGUUUGAGCGACUGGGCUUACAUGUGAUCAUUGCCAAAGGUCAUUGUCCGUCGUGGUUUUUCAUCAUAUAUGCAGAACCAAGUUUCCUGUUAUGCAUGUUACAGUAAAAAAUAACUUGAGAAUAUACAAGGCAAUUAAAAAAAAAAUGUUGUAAGCAUUGAGUUUGCAGACUUUUAAUGUAGCAUUGUCUGGAAUUUCAUCUAUUCAGCAGAAAAAAUAACCUGCCCCUUAUGGCUUAUAUGAUCUUGCCUUGCUGUAUAAAACAUUGUGAUUGUAUGCUCACUAAUAAAUGAAGUUAUUUUUUAC
This 1066-nucleotide unclassified non-coding RNA is filed under the name Hevea brasiliensis (rubber tree). Lineage: Eukaryota; Viridiplantae; Streptophyta; Magnoliopsida; Malpighiales; Euphorbiaceae. The record is from RNAcentral.